This 29-nucleotide non-coding RNA is filed under the name Homo sapiens (human). Lineage: Eukaryota; Metazoa; Chordata; Mammalia; Primates; Hominidae. The record is from RNAcentral.
UGUGUGUUUGCGUGCGCAUGUGUAGAGGA